Molecule: ribosomal RNA, 135 nt
Filed under: Photobacterium damselae subsp. piscicida
Lineage: Bacteria; Pseudomonadati; Pseudomonadota; Gammaproteobacteria; Vibrionales; Vibrionaceae
Description: partial 16S ribosomal RNA
Rfam family: Bacterial small subunit ribosomal RNA
Source: RNAcentral
ACUUUAAUUGAAGAGUUUGAUCAUGGCUCAGAUUGAACGCUGGCGGCAGGCCUAACACAUGCAAGUCGAGCGGCAGCGACUUAACUGAACCUUCGGGGAACGUUAAGGGCGGCGAGCGGCGGACGGGUGAGUAAU